Molecule: ribosomal RNA, 469 nt
Filed under: uncultured bacterium
Lineage: Bacteria
Description: partial 16S ribosomal RNA
Rfam family: Bacterial small subunit ribosomal RNA
Source: RNAcentral
AACUAACGCUGGCGGCGCGCCUAAUACAUGCAAGUCAAACGGGUAGCAAUACCAGUGGCGCACGGGAGAGGAACACGUGGAUAAUCUACCUUCGAGAGAAGAAUAACCAGUCGAAAGAUUGGCUAAUACUUCGUAAGACCACAGGGGCUAAUGCCCAAGGGGUAAAAGUAGUAAUACGCUUGAAGAUGAGUCUGCGUCCCAUUAGCUAGUUGGUGAGGUAAUAGCUUACCAAGGCGACGAUGGGUAGCUGGUCUGAGAGGAUGAUCAGCCUCACUGGAACUGACACACGGUCCAGACUCCUACGGGAGGCAGCAGUAGGGAAUAUUGCACAAUGGAGGAAACUCUGAUGCAGCGACGCCGCGUGAGUGAUGAAGGACUUCGGUUCGUAAAGCUCUGUUCUUAGGGAAUAAAAAAAUGAAUGUACUUAAGGAGAAAGCACCGGCUAACUUCGUGCCAGCCGCCGCCGUAA